UUCAAAGCUUGCUUUUGAAGAUGACGAGCGGCGGACGGGUGAGUAAUGCCUGGGAAUUUGCCCAUUUGUGGGGGAUAACAGUUGGAAACGACUGCUAAUACCGCAUACGCCCUACGGGGGAAAGCAGGGGACCUUCGGGCCUUGCGCUGAUGGAUAAGCCCAGGUGGGAUUAGCUAGUAGGUGGGGUAAUGGCUCACCUAGGCAACGAUCCCUAGCUGGUCUGAGAGGAUGAUCAGCCACACUGGGACUGAGACACGGCCCAGACUCCUACGGGAGGCAGCAGUGGGGAAUAUUGCACAAUGGGGGAAACCCUGAUGCAGCCAUGCCGCGUGUGUGAAGAAGGCCUUCGGGUUGUAAAGCACUUUCAGCGAGGAGGAAAGGGUGUAAGUUAAUACCUUACAUCUGUGACGUUACUCGCAGAAGAAGCACCGGCUAACUCCGUGCCAGCAGCCGCGGUAAUACGGAGGGUGCGAGCGUUAAUCGGAAUUACUGGGCGUAAAGCGUGCGCAGGCGGUUUGUUAAGCGAGAUGUGAAAGCCCCGGGCUCAACCUGGGAACCGCAUUUCGAACUGGCAAACUAGAGUCUUGUAGAGGGGGGUAGAAUUCCAGGUGUAGCGGUGAAAUGCGUAGAGAUCUGGAGGAAUACCGGUGGCGAAGGCGGCCCCCUGGACAAAGACUGACGCUCAGGCACGAAAGCGUGG
Molecule: ribosomal RNA, 700 nt
Filed under: Shewanella sp.
Lineage: Bacteria; Pseudomonadati; Pseudomonadota; Gammaproteobacteria; Alteromonadales; Shewanellaceae
Description: bacterial SSU rRNA
Rfam family: Bacterial small subunit ribosomal RNA
Source: RNAcentral